UACGUAGGGCGCAAGCGUUGUCCGGAAUCAUUGGGCGUAAAGAGCUCGUAGGUGGUCUGUUACGUCUGCUGUGAAAACCUAGGGCUUAACCCUGGGCCUGCAGUGGAUACGGGCAGACUAGAGGUAGGUAGGGGAGAAUGGAAUUCCUGGUGUAGCGGUGAAAUGCGCAGAUAUCAGGAGGAACACCAAUGGCGAAGGCAGCACUCUGGGACGUGACUGACGCUGAGACGCGAAAGCGUGGGGAGCAAACAGG
RNAcentral lists this ribosomal RNA (253 nucleotides) under uncultured bacterium. Its description in RNAcentral is "partial 16S ribosomal RNA". It matches the Rfam family "Bacterial small subunit ribosomal RNA", at positions 524 to 776 of the family's 1533-position model. The record is from RNAcentral.